RNAcentral lists this long non-coding RNA (885 nucleotides) under Helianthus annuus (common sunflower). RNAcentral's name for it is "hypothetical non coding rna". Lineage: Eukaryota; Viridiplantae; Streptophyta; Magnoliopsida; Asterales; Asteraceae. The record is from RNAcentral.
UUAUUCUCCCCAAAAGACACUCUCACAGUUUAUAUCAAGUGCACAGGCAAUUUUCUCUCAAGUACAUCGACGAUUAGGGUUUCAAGACCCUUCUUUAAUCAUCGCAGCUCUCAGGCUCUCAGUAUAAUCUGUCUGUGGAGAUCCGCUGUGAUUUGCUAUUCAUACUGUUGAUAUUUAUCGGUUCAGCUUGUUGUUAGUCUCACCUGUGAGAUCUUGAUCCUGUAUAGGUCAGGUUGUAUUCGUUCUUGUUAUCUUUCUAUCUUUGUAUUCAUAGAUCAACUGAUUUAUUAAAUCAGUCGAUCUAAACUUGUGUUCAUCAGAUCUUAGUUCAUGUAAGAUCGAGGGUUUGGGGGGUGUUUUUGGUUUGGGUUAAAUAAUAAAGUUUUACGUCACGAUUUGUCGCUUCUCGUGUGUUUUAUGUUGUUCUUUGUGUUUUAUAUCGAUCGAUCAUACUAUUUUGACAUGGUAUCAGAGCAAUAGGCUCUGAUCGAUUAUCAUCAAUUAAUAGAUUAUUGUUCUUCCGCUGCUUUGGUACGUUUUUCUACUUGGUUUUUUUGUUUUGAAAGCCAGAGAUUUGGGCGUGUUUGGUUCAUCACAUAUCUGGCAUGAUUUAAGGUGUUAGGGUUUUGAUUAAAACCCUAACUGUCUUUGUUCUUGAACGGCAGUCUUUCUGCAUACAUGUUUGUAGAAGUCUUUACAUCAGGAAUAGGAUUUGUAACCAUGGAUUGGUAUUCUUGCGUCUAUAAAGGCUGUUAGGAGUAUUGGUGAUUUAUACUCUGCACUUUGUUUUGUUCUUGCGCUUGCUUUGUUCACCGUAGAUAAUGUCUUGAUUAAUUGCUUCUGUUUUAGGAGUCUAUUAUCAUGUUGUUGGAAAACACAUAUAGU